Molecule: ribosomal RNA, 227 nt
Filed under: uncultured Simplicispira sp.
Lineage: Bacteria; Pseudomonadati; Pseudomonadota; Betaproteobacteria; Burkholderiales; Comamonadaceae
Description: partial 16S ribosomal RNA
Rfam family: Bacterial small subunit ribosomal RNA
Source: RNAcentral
AAACUUAAAUGAAUUUGACGGGGACCCGCACAAGCGGUGGAUGAUGUGGUUUAAUUCGAUGCAACGCGAAAACCUUACCCACCUUUGACAUGUACGGAAGUCGCCAGAGAUGGCUUCGUGCUCGAAAGAGAACCGUAACACAGGUGCUGCAUGGCUGUCGUCAGCUCGUGUCGUGAGAUGUUGGGUUAAGUCCCGCAACGAGCGCAACCCUUGUCAUUAGUUGCUAC